This is a non-coding RNA of Schistosoma mattheei, 48 nucleotides long. The record is from Rfam. Lineage: Eukaryota; Metazoa; Platyhelminthes; Trematoda; Strigeidida; Schistosomatidae.
AUCCAGCUGACGAGUCCCAAAUCAGUCGAAGCGCGCGUCAAACUGGAU